AUUGAACGCUGGCGGCAUGCUUUACACAUGCAAGUCGAGCGGCAGCGCGGGGGCAACCCUGGCGGCGAGCGGCGAACGGGUGAGUAAUGCAUCGGAACGUACCCUGGAGUGGGGGAUAACGCCGCGAAAGCGGCGCUAAUACCGCAUAUGCUCUGAGGAGGAAAGCAGGGGAUCACAAGACCUUGCGCUCUGGGAGCGGCCGAUGUCGGAUUAGCUAGUAGGUGAGGUAAAGGCUCACCUAGGCGACGAUCCGUAGCUGGUCUGAGAGGACGACCAGCCACACUGGAACUGAGACACGGUCCAGACUCCUACGGGAGGCAGCAGUGGGGAAUUUUGGACAAUGGGCGCAAGCCUGAUCCAGCCAUGCCGCGUGAGUGAAGAAGGCCU
This 387-nucleotide ribosomal RNA is filed under the name uncultured bacterium. Its description in RNAcentral is "bacterial SSU rRNA". It matches the Rfam family "Bacterial small subunit ribosomal RNA", at positions 29 to 417 of the family's 1533-position model. The record is from RNAcentral.